This 497-nucleotide ribosomal RNA is filed under the name uncultured bacterium. RNAcentral's name for it is "partial 16S ribosomal RNA". It matches the Rfam family "Bacterial small subunit ribosomal RNA", at positions 28 to 507 of the family's 1533-position model. The record is from RNAcentral.
GACGAACGCUGGCGGCGUGCCUAAUACAUGCAAGUCGAACGCUGAAGCGAGGAGCUUACUCUUCUUUGAUGAGCUGCGAACGGGUGAGUAAUGCGUAGGUAACCUGCCUUGUAGCGGGGGAUAACUAUUGGAAACGAUAGCUAAUACCGCAUAACAAUCGAUUACACAUGUCAUUUAUUUGAAAUGGGCAAUUGCUCCACUUCCAGCUGGACCUGCGUUGUAUUGGGUAGUAGGUGAGGUAAUGGCUCACCUAGGCGACGGUACAUAGCCGACCUGAGAGGGUGAUCGGCCACACGGGGACGGAGAAAAGGCACAGAAGGCUAGGGGAGGGAGCAGUAGGGAAACGUCGGAAAUGGGGGGAAAACAGAGCGAGAAAGGCCGAGGGAGGGAAGAAGGGUGUCGGAUCGGAAAGGUCGGUUGUAAGUGAAGAAAGGGCGUGAGAGUGGAAAGUACACACUGUGACGGUAGCUGAAAAGAAAGGGACGGCUAACUACGUG